GGGUUGCUGAAGAGUCCCAGACUAGAACGAAACAGCCGUCCAGUAC
This is a non-coding RNA of Trichobilharzia regenti, 46 nucleotides long. The record is from Rfam. NCBI's taxonomy places the organism in Eukaryota, Metazoa, Platyhelminthes, Trematoda, Strigeidida, Schistosomatidae.